UACGAAGGGGGCUAGCGUUGCUCGGAAUUACUGGGCGUAAAGGGCGCGUAGGCGGACAGUUUAGUCAGAGGUGAAAGCCCAGGGCUCAACCUUGGAAUAGCCUUUGAUACUGGCUGUCUUGAGUUCGGGAGAGGUGAGUGGAAUGCCGAGUGUAGAGGUGAAAUUCGUAGAUAUUCGCAAGAACACCAGGGGCGAAGGCGGCUCACUGGCCCGGUACUGACGCUGAGGUGCGAAAGCGUGGGGAGCAAACAGG
RNAcentral lists this ribosomal RNA (253 nucleotides) under uncultured bacterium. RNAcentral's name for it is "partial 16S ribosomal RNA". It matches the Rfam family "Bacterial small subunit ribosomal RNA", at positions 524 to 776 of the family's 1533-position model. The record is from RNAcentral.